Molecule: ribosomal RNA, 687 nt
Filed under: Hohenbuehelia atrocoerulea
Lineage: Eukaryota; Fungi; Basidiomycota; Agaricomycetes; Agaricales; Pleurotaceae
Description: eukaryotic LSU rRNA
Source: RNAcentral
UUUCCGUAGGUGAACCUGCGGAAGGAUCAUUAUUGAAUUCGGGCGAAGUUGUUGCUGGUACCCAAUGUGGUUCAUGUGCACACYUCGUAUCCCACUUCAACCACCUGUGAACUUUUUGUAGUCCUUGGGGGACGCUACAGCUCAAAGGAAACUUUGGAUUUGAGUGCUGCAGGCCUUUGUUACAAAGGUCGGCUUCAUUCUACAGCUGAACCCGGGUCUAUGCUUUAUAUACACCAAUUUGUAUGUCUAUGAAUGUGAUUGAAGGGCUUCAAUGCCUGUAAAUCUUAUACAACUUUCAGCAACGGAUCUCUUGGCUCUCGCAUCGAUGAAGAACGCAGCGAAAUGCGAUAAGUAAUGUGAAUUGCAGAAUUCAGUGAAUCAUCGAAUCUUUGAACGCACCUUGCGCCCCUUGGUAUUCCGAGGGGCAUGCCUGUUUGAGUGUCAUUAAAUUCUCAACCUUGAAAGGCUUUUGAAGUCCUUCGAGGCUUGGAUGUGGAGGCUGCGGGCCCUUGUUGGUCGGCUCCUCUUAAAUGCAUUAGCUGGGUUUGCGCCUUCAGCCUACUGGUGUGAUAAUUAUCUACGCCUCUGGGACGUUAGCGUGUUUACUUCUCCAGCUUCUAAUCGUCCGCAAGGACAAUACUUUGACCAUUUGACCUCAAAUCAGGUAGGACUACCCGCUGAACUUAA